GAAACGCUCCGGAGUUGUUGAUGAAUGAGAAGAGGACUGGAAAGAUGGCGCUGGAAUCUGUGGAGCAGGAAGCCUGGCAAUUCCAAGAUACGCGAUGAUCUUCAAACAUUCCCGGGAGCCAGUCCUGAGGCUCUGGCUUCAGGGCCUAGUUUCCAUUUAUGCCGCGUUUUUGAGAGUCUAAUACUGUGUCUGGCACAUGGUCCACGCAGGAUGGUCGCUUCCCCCUUGCUGAGAGUUUUGCCUUCAGCCUAUCUGGGCCGCUGGAAAAGAGGAGAAGAAUAAACAAGAGACAAGCAACUACUCCCCUACCGGCGUUCCGUCCUUGUCCUCACUGCCAAAUCCACUCCAAAGCCGAGGAUGGUGAGACUGUGAAGUUGCAAAGAAACACAGAGCCCACCCCCUUAAAGAAUUACGAUAUAUUUAAAGUUUGCCUCUUUCAGGUUUCUCUCCUUGGCUCCUGCCCCUUUCCCCUCCCGGCUCCUUGUCCUUGACUGAACCUCAUGGGACAGAGAACCUCCUGUCCCCCACGAGGCAAGGCGCGAACCCGCAGAGAUCUGGGGUGCCCUUUGGUUCCCUGCGCUGCCCUGGAGGCGUCCAUAGAGGCCUUUGCCGCCAAGGACAGCAAUUGUUUUAUUUUCGAUGGUUGCUCGCCAGGCCUGCGGGUCGCGGGCCCACCCAGCCGUCGAACUUUCCAGUCGUUAUCAGCGCUGCUCCUAACUUAAUGGAAUAAUGCAAAUUAUAGCCUGCCCAGCUGACACGUCCCUGCGAAUGCGCCGGGGCUGAGCUCUGGCCAGCCGCUCUCUCGACGUCCUGGACGGCCGGAGGGAAUGAAGCUCUGAAUUGUGACAAAAGUGGGGGGGGGGCACCCCAAAUUCUCAAAGCAAUGUUCUUUUUUUUUUCUUUUUUCUUAAGCAAUUGAGCCUUACCAAAUGUCGGGGCCGCACGGAAGCCUUGCAUAUUUUAAAGUGUAACCUGAGCCUUCGCGGUUUCAGCUUCACUUAAAACAUGCAAAUUCUUGAAAUUGAAAAAUCUGAAAAACUUCCGAAGAGUUCUAUCUGAAUAAAUCCAAAUCCAUUGGGAGUCGCUUUGAGGAGACAAAACGCACAGCGAUUUGGGGUGAGGGAUAUUUGUGGGGAGGCAGGACGUGCUGGAUUGGGUUUCCAGGGUCAAGGUGUCUCUGGGCCUUCGACGAUAGCCUUAGCGCAGAGCAGGGAAGUGGCACCGCUAGGCAGCAAGCUCAGUUGCUCUACUUUUGUGACCCAUCCCCCCACC
Molecule: long non-coding RNA, 1272 nt
Filed under: Homo sapiens (human)
Lineage: Eukaryota; Metazoa; Chordata; Mammalia; Primates; Hominidae
Description: non-protein coding LINC00391:8
Source: RNAcentral